This 253-nucleotide ribosomal RNA is filed under the name uncultured bacterium. RNAcentral's name for it is "partial 16S ribosomal RNA". It matches the Rfam family "Bacterial small subunit ribosomal RNA", at positions 524 to 776 of the family's 1533-position model. The record is from RNAcentral.
UACGAAGGGGGCUAGCGUUGUUCGGAAUUACUGGGCGUAAAGCGCACGUAGGCGGGUUUGUAAGUAGGGGGUGAAAUCCCAGAGCUCAACUCUGGAACUGCCUUCUAAACUGCAAGCCUGGAGGUCAGGAGAGGCGAGUGGAAUACCGAGUGUAGAGGUGAAAUUCGUAGAUAUUAGGAAGAACACCAGUGGCGAAGGCGGCUCACUGGUCCGGUACUGACGCUGAGGUGCGAAAGCGUGGGGAGCAAACAGG